GCUUCGGCGUGUGACUGCGUACCUUUUGUAUAAUGGGUCAGCGACUUAUAUUCUGUAGCAAGGUUAACCGAAUAGGGGAGCCGAAGGGAAACCGAGUCUUAACUGGGCGUUAAGUUGCAGGGUAUAGACCCGAAACCCGGUGAUCUAGCCAUGGGCAGGUUGAAGGUUGGGUAACACUAACUGGAGGACCGAACCGACUAAUGUUGAAAAAUUAGCGGAUGACUUGUGGCUGGGGGUGAAAGGCCAAUCAAACCGGGAGAUAGCUGGUUCUCCCCGAAAGCUAUUUAGGUAGCGCCUCGUGAAUUCAUCUCCGGGGGUAGAGCACUGUUUCGGCAAGGGGGUCAUCCCGACUUACCAACCCGAUGCAAACUGCGAAUACCGGAGAAUGUUAUCACGGGAGACACACGGCGGGUGCUAACGUCCGUCGUGAAGAGGGAAACAACCCAGACCGCCAGCUAAGGUCCCAAAGUCAUGGUUAAGUGGGAAACGAUGUGGGAAGGCCCAGACAGCCAGGAUGUUGGCUUAGAAGCAGCCAUCAUUUAAAGAAAGCGUAAUAGCUCACUGGUCGAGUCGGCCUGCGCGGAAGAUGUAACGGGGCUAAACCAUGCACCGAAGCUGCGGCAGCGACGCUGAUGCGUUGUUGGGUAGGGGAGCGUUCUGUAAGCCUGUGAAGGUGUGCUGUGAGGCAUGCUGGAGGUAUCAGAAGUGCGAAUGCUGACAUAAGUAACGAUAAAGCGGGUGAAAAGCCCGCUCGCCGGAAGACCAAGGGUUCCUGUCCAACGUUAAUCGGGGCAGGGUGAGUCGACCCCUAAGGCGAGGCCGAAAGGCGUAGUCGAUGGGAAACAGGUUAAUAUUCCUGUACUUGGUGUUACUGCGAAGGGGGGACGGAGAAGGCUAUGUUGGCCGGGCGACGGUUGUCCCGGUUUAAGCGUGUAGGCUGGUUUUCCAGGCAAAUCCGGAAAAUCAAGGCUGAGGCGUGAUGACGAGGCACUACGGUGCUGAAGCAACAAAUGCCCUGCUUCCAGGAAAAGCCUCUAAGCAUCAGGUAACAUCAAAUCGUACCCCAAACCGACACAGGUGGUCAGGUAGAGAAUACCAAGGCGCUUGAGAGAACUCGGGUGAAGGAACUAGGCAAAAUGGUGCCGUAACUUCGGGAGAAGGCACGCUGAUAUGUAGGUGAAGUCCCUCGCGGAUGGAGCUGAAAUCAGUCGAAGAUACCAGCUGGCUGCAACUGUUUAUUAAAAACACAGCACUGUGCAAACACGAAAGUGGACGUAUACGGUGUGACGCCUGCCCGGUGC
Molecule: ribosomal RNA, 1301 nt
Filed under: Escherichia coli
Lineage: Bacteria; Pseudomonadati; Pseudomonadota; Gammaproteobacteria; Enterobacterales; Enterobacteriaceae
Description: partial 23S ribosomal RNA
Rfam family: Bacterial large subunit ribosomal RNA
Source: RNAcentral